CAUAGCGACUAUCGUGGCAUAUCAAUAAGCGGAGGAAAAGAAACUAACUAGGAUUCCCUCAGUAACGGCGAGUGAAGCGGGAAGAGCUCAAAUUUGAAAUCUUCAAGGUUCUACCUUGACGAAUUGUAGUUUAAAGAAGUGUUUUCUGUUGGAGUUUUGGUAAAAGUUCUUUGGAAUAGGACAUCAUAGAGGGUGAGAAUCCCGUAUUUGACCAUUAUUUCCAACUUUGUGAUACACUUUCAAAGAGUCGGAUUGUUUGGGAAUGCAGUCCAAAAUGGGUGGUAAAUUUCAUCUAAAGCUAAAUACUGGCGAGAGACCGAUAGCGAACAAGUACCGUGAGGGAAAGAUGAAAAGAACUUUGAAAAGAGAGUUAAACAGUACGUGAAAUUGUCAAAAGGGAAGCGUUUGACACCAGUGUUGUUUAGUUGAAAAUCAAUUCAAUAAUUUUUGAUUUUAAGUAGUAUUGACUUCAUCAGCUUGCUGCUUUCUUUUCAGGAAUUAUUGAAUGCACUUUUCAGUUAACAAGUCAACAUCAAUUUCUUUUGUUGUAAAAGGGUAAGAGGAAGGUGGCUUACGCUUCGGCGUAAGUGUUUAUAGCCUUUUACCUCUGCAAUCGGAGAGAUUGAGGACAGCAGCGUAGACUCUUCGGGGUUAGAUACACUUGUGCUAAGCUAUAGCCUUGUAUAGACAACUUGUUGACUAUGCUCAGUCAUGUAGCUUACUCGCUUGUGCUAUUUUACCUACGCUUAGGAUGUUGAUAGUCACAGCGUGUAC
RNAcentral lists this ribosomal RNA (774 nucleotides) under uncultured Neocallimastigales. Its description in RNAcentral is "partial large subunit ribosomal RNA". It matches the Rfam family "Eukaryotic large subunit ribosomal RNA", at positions 22 to 634 of the family's 3401-position model. Lineage: Eukaryota; Fungi; Neocallimastigomycota; Neocallimastigomycetes; Neocallimastigales. The record is from RNAcentral.